AGAGUUUGAUCCUGGCUCAGGAUGAACGCUGGCGGCGUGCUUAACACAUGCAAGUCGAACGAUUGAAGCUGGAGCUUGCUCCGGCCGAUUUAGUGGCGGACGGGUGAGUAACGCGUGGGUAACCUGCCUCAUACAGGGGGAUAGCAGUUGGAAACGACUGGUAAAACCGCAUAAGCGCACGGUGUCGCAUGACACAGUGUGAAAACACUCCGGUGGUAUGAGAUGGACCCGCGUCUGAUUAGCUAGUUGGUGAGGUAACGGCCCACCAAGGCGACGAUCAGUAGCCGGCCUGAGAGGGUGAACGGCCACAUUGGGACUGAGACACGGCCCAAACUCCUACGGGAGGCAGCAGUGGGGAAUAUUGCACAAUGGGGGAAACCCUGAUGCAGCGACGCCGCGUGAGUGAUGAAGUAUUUCGGUAUGUAAAGCUCUAUCAGCAGGGAAGAUAAUGACGGUACCUGACUAAGAAGCACCGGCUAAAUACGUGCCAGCAGCCGCGGUAAUACGUAUGGUGCAAGCGUUAUCCGGAUUUACUGGGUGUAAAGGGUGCGUAGGUGGCAAGGCAAGUCUGAAGUGAAAAUCCGGGGCUCAACCCCGGAACUGCUUUGGAAACUGUUUAGCUGGAGUACAGGAGAGGUAAGUGGAAUUCCUAGUGUAGCGGUGAAAUGCGUAGAUAUUAGGAGGAACACCAGUGGCGAAGGCGACUUACUGGACUGCUACUGACACUGAGGCACGAAAGCGUGGGGAGCAAACAGGAUUAGAUACCCUGGUAGUCCACGCCGCAAACGAUGAUUACUAGGUGUUGGAGGAUUGACCCCUUCAGUGCCGCAGUUAACACAAUAAGUAAUCCACCUGGGGAGUACGACCGCAAGGUUGAAACUCAAAGGAAUUGACGGGGGCCCGCACAAGCAGUGGAGUAUGUGGUUUAUUUCGACGCAACGCGAAGAACCUUACCAAGUCUUGACAUCCCUUGACGAACAUAGAAAUAUGUUUUCUCUUCGGAGCAAGGAGACAGGUGGUGCAUGGUUGUCGUCAGCUCGUGUCGUGAGAUGUUGGGUUAAGUCCCGCAACGAGCGCAACCCUUACUGUCAGUUACUACGCAAGAGGACUCUGGCAGGACUGCCGUUGACAAAACGGAGGAAGGUGGGGAUGACGUCAAAUCAUCAUGCCCUUUAUGACUUGGGCUACACACGUACUACAAUGGCGUUAAACAAAGAGAAGCAAGACCGCGAGGUGGAGCAAAACUCAGAAGCAACGUCCCAGUUCGGACUGCAGGCUGCAACUCGCCUGCACGAAGUCGGAAUUGCUAGUAAUCGUGGAUCAGCAUGCCACGGUGAAUACGUUCCCGGGCCUUGUACACACCGCCCGUCACACCAUGAGAGCCGGGGGGACCCGAAGUCGGUAGUCUAGCCGCAAGGAGGACGCCGCCGAAGGUAAAACUGGUGAUUGGGGUGAAGUCGUAACAAGGUA
Molecule: ribosomal RNA, 1470 nt
Filed under: metagenome
Description: bacterial SSU rRNA
Rfam family: Bacterial small subunit ribosomal RNA
Source: RNAcentral